This 134-nucleotide antisense RNA is filed under the name Vibrio nigripulchritudo. RNAcentral's name for it is "Vibrio regulatory RNA of OmpA". It matches the Rfam family "Vibrio regulatory RNA of OmpA". The record is from Rfam by way of RNAcentral. Lineage: Bacteria; Pseudomonadati; Pseudomonadota; Gammaproteobacteria; Vibrionales; Vibrionaceae.
GUAGCAAGCAGGGCAUUCCGAGUCUGCGGUCGUAUUGGACUGAUUUAUUUACUGCAACUUGUUACAAACGCUGCUUUUUUCUUAUUAACUCCUAUUUGUAUCCGCCCAAACCCAAGUGGUUUGGGCUUUUUUUA